This 2012-nucleotide long non-coding RNA is filed under the name Gallus gallus (chicken). The record is from RNAcentral. Lineage: Eukaryota; Metazoa; Chordata; Aves; Galliformes; Phasianidae.
GACCUUAGAAGUUUCUGUGGUCGCAGUUUUAGAAGACACAGCCUGUGGCUGUUGCCAACCUGUGCCGGCCAAGGACAGGAGCUAAAGAGCUGGCUUCGGUGGCAGAAAAAGCAGAUGCUGCAAGAGGAGGAUUUUAGACAGCCACUAAAGCACUUCUGCAUCCUUUUUGUCUGGAUGAUAAAAUCUAAGCAAACCCUUCAGACAGACAUCAACAACCAGCUGGAAGAGCAGAGUAAAUGGGAGCUAGGAUACCUCAUUGUCAGCAUGAGCAAUUACAUUUGAUGAAUAUAUUUUUUGCUUGAAAAAUCUGUAGAAGAAACAGACUGCUCUUUUGGAAAUGCAUGACGAUUCACUGUUUAAUAAGUUCCAGUUAAACUUAAUUAGGAGGCAACUGCAAAGAACAGGAAGUACAAUCUCAUCCAGCAAAAUGGGUUUAUCAAAGCUCAAAUUGUCACGGUAAUCAGCAGCAAGUGGCUUUGUUUCUGAAGUUGGUUACUUCAUCGCUAUGCAUCAAUCAAUCAGAACAGCAGAACUAGCAUAAACCAGCUUCAGCUGCUUGAUGUUAAUGCCUGAAGGGAAGUGAGAUGCACAGCGCGUAUGCAUGCAGAACUGGUGGCAGUGAAUACAGCACAAGUCAAAACUUCAUACUACUGAGCUGAAAACUGUUAACGACGACAAAGUAAUUUCCCACAGUUCAGGACUCAGUUGCUUGGAUGACUUACACCGUUUUAUCAUUCUGGCUGUAGAAUGUGUAGGCAGACUUUCAGAGGUGCAAAGCACAGAGGCACUGUAUGCUGAGAUGGUUCAAUACAAGCAAAGACUGAUUCUAAAUACAGAGAAAAAAUUAGAUGUUGAGGUAUGUGUUCAAGCUACUUUUCUGCUGUAGAGCUCAAGAAGACUAUUUUGUUUUCUUCAGUGCAAUGGAAUAGUUUGGUACAGAGGUGAUAUUUUCCAGCAACAGAAGGGCAAAAUUUACCAGACUCACUGUAGUACUGGAUCUUCUUUUACCAUAAAGACACUUCUGUUCACAUUGAAAAGUGUUACUGCCUGUAUGAGUAAGUGGCCCAAAUACAGACCUUGUGGAAGCCUUAGAAGCAUGUAAGCCAUAAUUUGCAAAAUGGUGAAAAAGGAGCAUAAGUGGCUGACUUUAGCCUCACUGGUGGCCAACAGCCAGGAAAAGAGGAAAAUAGUGCUUGCUAAUGGAAAAUGAGUCUUCUUUACUAUGUGAAAACAAGGAGUAUUGGAUAAUUUCCCUCAGAGGCACUUAAGACAAGAACAGGAUCCUGGUUUCCCUGUUUCUGGGAUAAAUGAUAUGUUUGAUCCUACUGACGGAAGGGUAAGAUCACUGAAGUUCUACUUUAUUUCUUUUUCUUUUGUUAAAAUACACUCAAAAAGAAAGUAUACGUGGCAUUUUUUAAUCUAAAUUUUGUUUCAUUUUUCACUUUUCUCUCAGGCUUUCUGUUUUACUUUCUUCUGCAGUGCUUCUUAUCCUGCUUUUAUUGUAUGACUCUGUGUUUGCAUAUGGAGAAAUGUUAAGGGAAAUAGCUGCAUUUACUUUUCAGUCUGGAUUGUUUUUAAAACUUGAACAGUCAUAGUUGUCUGAGCGUGUUGUCUUUUCAAUGGAAUAUUUUUGAAAUAAUAAAAGUAAUGUGGUGGAGAUCAAGUUGUAAUAAAAAGUUCUUGUUCUGCCUUCUUGUUUUGAUUGAAACCAGUGAGCUGAAGUUGCUGACUUAGUUAGAAGGCUGAAAAAUUCAUACUCCAAGAUUUUGUAACUGGAACAGCCCUUCCAAAAAACUGAAUUAAUUCACUACAUAGUAAUCCCUUUUACACGAUUAUUUUAUAAAAUAAGAAUUAUAUUGUAAAUAAUGAUAAAAUUAUAGUGAAAACUUCCUAAUUUCUUAGUCUAAAAUUUAAAUAAUUUAAGAAUAUUGUAUACUAAGAAGUAGUGUCUGUAUCAGAAAUUCUAAGUUGUGGCUUGAGCCAGUGAUUGAGCACCUGGUGGAAAGGCAGGG